This 253-nucleotide ribosomal RNA is filed under the name uncultured bacterium. RNAcentral describes it as "partial 16S ribosomal RNA". It matches the Rfam family "Bacterial small subunit ribosomal RNA", at positions 524 to 776 of the family's 1533-position model. The record is from RNAcentral.
UACGAAGGGUGCAAACGUUGCUCGGAAUGACUGGGCGUAAAGGGCGCGUAGGCGGUUUGUACAGUCAGGUGUGAAAUCCCCGGGCUUAACCUGGGAACUGCAUUUGUGACUGGCGGGCUAGAGUAUGGCAGAGGGGGGUAGAAUUCUCGGUGUAGAGGUGAAAUUCGUAGAUAUCGAGAGGAAUACCUGUGGCGAAGGCGGCCAACUGGACGAGUACUGACACUGAGACACGAAAGCGUGGGGAGCAAACAGG